AUUGAACGCUGGCGGCAGGCCUAACACAUGCAAGUCGAGCGGAUGAAGGGAGCUUGCUCCUGGAUUCAGCGGCGGACGGGUGAGUAAUGCCUAGGAAUCUGCCUGGUAGUGGGGGAUAACGUCCGGAAACGGGCGCUAAUACCGCAUACGUCCUGAGGGAGAAAGUGGGGGAUCUUCGGACCUCACGCUAUCAGAUGAGCCUAGGUCGGAUUAGCUAGUUGGUGGGGUAAAGGCCUACCAAGGCGACGAUCCGUAACUGGUCUGAGAGGAUGAUCAGUCACACGGGAACUGAGACACGGUCCAGACUCCUACGGGAGGCAGAAGUGGGGAAGAUUGGACAAGGGGCGAAAGCCUGAUCAAGACAGGCGGCGUGUGUGAAGAAGGUCUUCGGAUUGUAAAGCACUUUAAGUUGGGAGGAAGGGCAGUAAGGUAAUACCUUGCUGUUUUGACGGUACCAAAAGAAUAAGCACCGGCUAACUUCGUG
RNAcentral lists this ribosomal RNA (484 nucleotides) under uncultured bacterium. Its description in RNAcentral is "partial 16S ribosomal RNA". It matches the Rfam family "Bacterial small subunit ribosomal RNA", at positions 30 to 507 of the family's 1533-position model. The record is from RNAcentral.